AACUGUCUGCCAGAAAUGAAGGACUUCCUAAAAAACUUUCCCUUUAGGGAAUUCAGUGUCUUUAUCACCAUCGUCGGCAGUUUUACUUAUAAUGUUUUACUUGAAAGAGAUGUGGUCUGCACUUGCAUAGAUGUCGAUACAGACUGCUGGAUAUACCUUUUUAUGCCGGUGUUUAUAAUUUUUUUCUUAAUACUUUGGACAGACAAGAUAUUACAGAGAACCUGCAACUACUAUAUAUUUGUAUGUUCAGAAAAGCUAGCUUUUUUCCGAGCUCGGUGUCUACAAAAGCUAGCUUCUUUGCGAGCUAGGUGUCUAAAAAAGCUAGCUUUUUUGCGAGCUUGUUGUCUAAAAAAGCCUGAUAAACCUGAUGUGGAGCAUCAACCACUUGAUGAGCAGCAAGAUCAACAAAAGAAUUCAAACUGCAGGGGAGCAUUAUGUGGUGUUUUCUGGAGUCGCAUUAUCAAGGCACUUUGUAUUGGUGUGCUGUGGGCUAUUUCUGUGCUCAUCGAUGGAGACUGGUAUGUUUGCUGUCAGAAUGAUCAUUCUGAAAAGCAAUCACAGUUAGCCUGCAAAGAUAAAACCAACAUGACACCUGAAGAAAAUGUGGACAUCAAUACCCUGAAAAACAAAUCAAGAAUGCUGUAGGAGAGAGAAAUACAUAGUGGAAGAGACAUAAAGAGGAACGCGGAGAGGAAGGGCAGCACGCACAGGGUGUGCAGAAACACUACAGCGGGGAGCACGAACACGG
Long non-coding RNA from Astatotilapia calliptera (eastern happy), 748 nucleotides. NCBI's taxonomy places the organism in Eukaryota, Metazoa, Chordata, Actinopteri, Cichliformes, Cichlidae. The record is from Ensembl.